UGGUAAUGCCGGAUGCUCCAGUUGACCGCAUGGUCCUCUGGGAAAGCUUUUGCGGUAUGGGAUGGGGUCGCGUCCUAUCAGCUUGAUGGCGGGGUAACGGCCCACCAUGGCUUCGACGGGUAGCCGGCCUGAGAGGGCGACCGGCCACAUUGGGACUGAGAUACGGCCCAGACUCCUACGGGAGGCAGCAGUGGGGAAUAUUGCACAAUGGGCGCAAGCCUGAUGCAGCGACGCCGCGUGCGGGAUGACGGCCUUCGGGUUGUAAACCGCUUUUGACUGGGAGCAAGCCCUUCGGGGUGAGUGUACCUUUCGAAUAAGCACCGGCUAACUACGUGCCAGCAGCCGCGGUAAUACGUAGGGUGCAAGCGUUAUCCGGAAUUAUUGGGCGUAAAGGGCUCGUAGGCGGUUCGUCGCGUCCGGUGUGAAAGUCCAUCGCUUAACGGUGGAUCCGCGCCGGGUACGGGCGGGCUUGAGUGCGGUAGGGGAGACUGGAAUUCCCGGUGUAACGGUGGAAUGUGUAGAUA
Molecule: ribosomal RNA, 524 nt
Filed under: Bifidobacterium adolescentis
Lineage: Bacteria; Bacillati; Actinomycetota; Actinomycetes; Bifidobacteriales; Bifidobacteriaceae
Description: partial 16S ribosomal RNA
Rfam family: Bacterial small subunit ribosomal RNA
Source: RNAcentral